RNAcentral lists this ribosomal RNA (253 nucleotides) under uncultured prokaryote. RNAcentral's name for it is "partial 16S ribosomal RNA". It matches the Rfam family "Bacterial small subunit ribosomal RNA", at positions 525 to 777 of the family's 1533-position model. The record is from RNAcentral.
ACAGAGGGUGCAAGCGUUGUUCGGAAUUAUUGGGCGUAAAGGGCGCGUAGGCGGUGCGGUAAGUCUGCGGUGAAAUCUCCCGGCUCAACUGGGAGGCUGCCGUGGAAACUGCCGUGCUUGAGUGUGGGAGAGGUGAGUGGAAUUCCCGGUGUAGCGGUGAAAUGCGUAGAGAUCGGGAGGAAGGCCGGUGGCGAAGGCGGCGCUCUGGAACGUUUCUGACGCUGAGGCUCGAAAGCGUGGGGAGCAAACAGGA